This 343-nucleotide ribosomal RNA is filed under the name uncultured soil bacterium. RNAcentral's name for it is "bacterial SSU rRNA". It matches the Rfam family "Bacterial small subunit ribosomal RNA", at positions 26 to 364 of the family's 1533-position model. The record is from RNAcentral.
AGGAUGAACGCUGGCGGCGUGCUUAACACAUGCAAGUCGAACGAUGAAGGCUGGAGCUUGCUCUGGCUGGAUUAGUGGCGAACGGGUGAGUAACACGUGAGUAACCUGCCCCAGACUCUGGGAUAAGCGCUGGAAACGGCGUCUAAUACCGGAUACGAGCUUCCACCGCAUGGUGAGGAGCUGGAAAGAAUUUCGGUCUGGGAUGGACUCGCGGCCUAUCAGCUUGUUGGUGAGGUAAUGGCUCACCAAGGCGACGACGGGUAGCCGGCCUGAGAGGGUGACCGGCCACACGUGGGACUGAGACACGGCCAGACUCCGUACGGGAGGCAGCAGUGGGGGAAUA